This 376-nucleotide ribosomal RNA is filed under the name uncultured bacterium. RNAcentral describes it as "bacterial SSU rRNA". It matches the Rfam family "Bacterial small subunit ribosomal RNA", at positions 524 to 898 of the family's 1533-position model. The record is from RNAcentral.
GACAGAGGGUGCAAACGUUGCUCGGAAUUACUGGGCGUAAAGCGCGUGUAGGCGGUUUCGUAAGUCAGGUGUGAAAGCCCGGGGCUCAACCCCGGAAGUGCACUUGAUACUGCGGAGCUUGAGUGCUGAAGAGGAGAGCGGAAUUCUCGGUGUAGAGGUGAAAUUCGUAGAUAUCGGGAGGAACACCAGUGGCGAAGGCGGCUCUCUGGGCAGCAACUGACGCUGAGACGCGAAAGCAUGGGGAGCAAACAGGAUUAGAUACCCUGGUAGUCCAUGCUGUAAACGAUGAGUGCUGGGUGUUGCGGGUAUUGACCCCCGCGGUGCCGAAGCCAACGCGUUAAGCACUCCGCCUGGGAAGUACGGCCGCAAGGCUAAA